CGAGUCGACAUGGAGGGAGGCUCAAAGAUUUUGCUACGUAUUCGGCUCCAACCUGGCCAGUUUACAUUCAGAAGAAGAGAUCGCUUUUUUAAACACCAAGCUGUUCGGAAAGUUUAAGACCCUGUGGAUAGGUUUUUAUACGCCGUUUCAUGACGACAAUUGGAAGUGGUUCGACGGUACAGACGCCAAAUUUACGAGCUGGGUCGCUGGUCAGCCCAAAGUCUACACAGAAGACUGUGCUGCUACUUAUGUAACUACAGGU
Physella acuta is the source of this 262-nucleotide long non-coding RNA. RefSeq lists it as uncharacterized. The record is from RefSeq and is a predicted model, not a curated record. Lineage: Eukaryota; Metazoa; Mollusca; Gastropoda; Physidae.